Non-coding RNA from Pelobates cultripes (western spadefoot toad), 201 nucleotides. Lineage: Eukaryota; Metazoa; Chordata; Amphibia; Anura; Pelobatidae. The record is from the annotation of a GenBank genome assembly.
AGUAGAGGCGUCUCUGACCCCUGGCACCAUAACAACAUCAUUCCAAUGAAGUUGUUAUGGUGCCUGGAGGUUUCCUUUGAAGUAAAAAAGAGAAGAAAUUGACAACAAACUGACAGCUAAGCUGUAGCAUUUUGGCUAUUCUGGCCUCGUAUUUGAAAUUCACUUUGAAUUCUCACUUUCAUAAAUAGCUAUGUUGGGCUU